This is a non-coding RNA of Nylanderia fulva, 401 nucleotides long. Lineage: Eukaryota; Metazoa; Arthropoda; Insecta; Hymenoptera; Formicidae. The record is from RefSeq and is a predicted model, not a curated record.
GAACAAUUUUUAAAUCAACCGAAUAAGUUCGAAAUAUCGGUUAAAGAAGUAUCCAGAGUAGGGGGAAAAAAUCCUUACGAAUUUAUUAAGCGCAAUUGUACUCGUUUGUUGACCAACGAGCUGGCUGAAAAAUAUAGUUGGCUAGGAGCAAAACAGAAAAGGAAAUUUUGUCAUUUAAAACUCGCUGACUUGCUAAUUGUUUCCGGUCAAGAUAGUAAUUCCGAAUAUAACAAGAAAGUUUUAGAAGAAGCAGUUCAGAAAUGGCUGCGAAGAGCUAAAGAAAGAUUAAAUGGUGAAAAGAAGAAGCAAGAUAAACAAAGAACUGAAGAAGACUCAUCAUAACUAUAAGAAGACUAAUAACAAGAAGAUUAAUAAUAUUAAUAAAUUUUUGAUAUAUUUUA